This 338-nucleotide ribosomal RNA is filed under the name uncultured Diversispora. Its description in RNAcentral is "SSU rRNA". It matches the Rfam family "Eukaryotic small subunit ribosomal RNA", at positions 569 to 908 of the family's 1831-position model. Lineage: Eukaryota; Fungi; Glomeromycota; Glomeromycetes; Diversisporales; Diversisporaceae. The record is from RNAcentral.
AGCAGCCGCGGUAAUUCCAGCUCCAAUAGCGUAUAUUAAAGUUGUUGCAGUUAAAAAGCUCGUAGUUGAACUUCGGGGUUUACUUAUUGGUCAGGCUUAAUUGUCUGUACUGGUGAGAUGAAUCUCUACCUUCUGAGGAACUUUCAUGUCAUUUAUUUGGUGUGAUUGGAAAUCAGGACUGUUACUUUAGAAAAAUUAGAGUGUUUAAAGCAGGCUAACGUCUGAAUACAUUAGCAUGGAAUAAUGAAAUAGGACGGACUGAUUCUAUUUCGUUGGUUUCUAGGAUCACCGUAAUGAUUAAGUAGGGAUAGUUGGGGGCAUUAGUAUUCAAUUGUCAG